AGAGUUUGAUCAUGGCUCAGGAUGAACGCUAGCGGGAGGCCUAACACAUGCAAGCCGAGCGGUAUUGUUUCUUCGGAAAUGAGAGAGCGGCGUACGGGUGCGGAACACGUGUGCAACCUGCCUUUAUCUGGGGGAUAGCCUUUCGAAAGGAAGAUUAAUACUCCAUAAUAUAUUGAACGGCAUCGUUUAAUAUUGAAAGCUCCGGCGGAUAGAGAUGGGCACGCGCAAGAUUAGCUAGUUGGUGAGGUAACGGCUCACCAAGGCAAUGAUCUUUAGGGGGCCUGAGAGGGUGAUCCCCCACACUGGUACUGAGACACGGACCAGACUCCUACGGGAGGCAGCAGUGAGGAAUAUUGGUCAAUGGGUGCAAGCCUGAACCAGCCAUCCCGCGUGAAGGACGACUGCCCUAUGGGUUGUAAACUCCUUUUGUAUAGGGAUAAACCUACCCUCGUGAGGGUAGCUGAAGGUACUAUACGAAUAAGCACCGGCUAACUCCGUG
RNAcentral lists this ribosomal RNA (499 nucleotides) under uncultured bacterium. RNAcentral describes it as "bacterial SSU rRNA". It matches the Rfam family "Bacterial small subunit ribosomal RNA", at positions 8 to 507 of the family's 1533-position model. The record is from RNAcentral.